RNAcentral lists this long non-coding RNA (1006 nucleotides) under Anser cygnoides (Swan goose). RNAcentral describes it as "lncRNA (ENSACDG00005010266.1)". Lineage: Eukaryota; Metazoa; Chordata; Aves; Anseriformes; Anatidae. The record is from RNAcentral.
AUGCUGGGGAGGAGCAAUGCUCUCUGCCCCCACAGGAGGAGGUGGCCCUGCCCAUCCUCUUGUUUCACUUUUGCCUUAGUGCAGAGCCUCCGCUGCUCCACAGCCCUGCAGCUCUCCUGCGGCAUCAUCAUAGGGAGGAUGGCAGCCCGGAAGAAGGCCCGUGAUAACUUGAACUGUCCUAACUUGCAGACCGACCUGGAAAUCCUAAUGGCAAACCUAGAAGUCUGCCGCGGUGUGGGCUUGGAGAUCAUCAACAACACCAAAACAGUGACGCUGGAGGACUUCAGGAGUUACUGCUUCAGUGGCAAGAUCCGGACCGUUCUCCCCUUCGAUAUCGGCCCACACUCCGUAGGAAGAUGCAUUUUUGCAAAGACUCCAUACAGCCUGCGUGGGAGUGUGGGUGUCCUGGUCUGCAAGGCCAGCUCUUUCUCACUGGCCAUCAUGUUCUCCAACCCCUUCGACUACAUCCUUUACAACGUCGAGUUUGCUCUGGAGCUCUUCAAAUCAGAGAACCACAUGGGAAACCUCAGUGCAGUCUUCUCCCGUAUGAUGGAGAGCAGGCCUCACUGCAGCUCCACGCUCUUCCAGCGAGCCAAGCUACAGUCCGAGCAUGAAACCCUGGAGGUCUCCCUGGGGAAUAUUCGUGUCAGAGCCAAGAUGUCCAACAGUGGGAAAGCGAUCCUGAAAGUCCAGGUAGAUGAUAUAGAUCCCCCACCCUAUUCCAAAGACAUGUGAGUGAAGACGCCUUUGCUGUCAAAAGCCUCCCUCGUCAGAUUUUUCAUCAAGGACGGAGGUAGAGAUCUCACUGUGCUGCCUCUUUGGUGGUCACAGGUGGUGUCUGAUGAUAAAUCUGGUGGGAGACGAUAGCACCACCAGCAGCCUGCUCCCUCCUAGCUGGCCUACAGCUUCGGUGACUUUGCCAAUAAGCUAGCAGCAGCUUGUAAAGCACUAACUCACGCUUAUGGGUGAUAACUAAUAAACAAUGCUCUUACCCUUGUACGCUGCA